RNAcentral lists this long non-coding RNA (1499 nucleotides) under Malus domestica (apple). RNAcentral's name for it is "long non-coding RNA (MDOM_LNC010453)". Lineage: Eukaryota; Viridiplantae; Streptophyta; Magnoliopsida; Rosales; Rosaceae. The record is from RNAcentral.
AGAAAACUACUAGCACAAUAAGUGAUAGGUUUACAAAAAAUCCUAGAAUGCCAAAAACAUCUCAAAAGACAUCGCGGAAAUCAAAAUAUCAAUCGUCUCACAGAUCUUCUCGUAAGCGUGGUGUGCUGCCAGUAAGAUCACUGAAUAAAUAUAACUCCCGGCCCAAUGCCUGCUCCAUGUCCCUCACCCCGUAGCUAGGGAUUAUUUCUCCCGGCCUAUCUGCCAACACCAGAUCCUCGCCUCAGGUAGCAUAGUGUCCACUAGGUACGCACAAAUAGUUACGCCUCUCAUAAAUAACCAUUUCAUAGUAUAAAGUCAUCCAUCGUCUAUACUAUAAGGACGGGUUUCUAAAACAUGUUCUAGCAUCCUAUCGUCAUCCAUCAGAUAGUCUACCAGUUCAUGGUUUUUAUAGAAAAUACAAUAUAUCAAACUAUAGCUCAAUAUAGGCUAAUAAUUAAUUCCUCACCAAAAACGAGACAAUAAACAACAUAUUCCAUAAACAUGCUUAACAUAAAAUGAGUUCAUAUACUCGUAAGGCAUGCUAUUCAUUUAUGUAAUUAAACUAUGAAAUCAUGUCAUUUUAGAAGGGACACUCACAGAUACUCCGUAGCAGCAGAAUUAUGCGGAAAAGGAUUAGGGAGGUCCCAACUAGAAACUUCACCUAAGCAAAAAAAAAUGUACAAUUUAUCAAACUACCCAACUGUAGAAUUUCAAGAUAUGGAAAUGGGUCUUGGGUUUGGAUCCAGAUUAGGGUUUAGGUUUAGGCAAGGAAGAAAAUAUCGGUAAUAUCGGAAAUAUCGGUAGUCCGAAAACACGGAAAUAUCGAUGGAAAUAUCGGGAUAAUAUCGAUAUCGAUAAAAAUUACAUGGAAACCACGGAAAUUGUAAGAAAAACUUGGAAAUUUUUAUUGAAACUUUGCAGGAUGUUUAUUUAGUCAAUUAUCUAUUAGUUUAUCACAAAAAAUUGGAAAGAAAUGCAUUGCAUGAUAGAUAUAACUGAUUUAAGUUGAUUAUAUAGCGAGCUGGCAAACAUUGUGAGUGUAGAAAAUAUGUAGUAAUUAAUGAAAGAAGUUUAAACACACCAUAAUCAUUUAUAUAUAAUGAAUUAGUACAAUAUUUUACACUUUAUACAUUGCAUGGUAAGAUACAUGAGUGACUUAUUACCCUUUAUUUUUUUUAUUUAAGAAUUAUAUGUUUGUGGGGAUUUUAUUUAAAAUUUAUAUUGAAGAUGCUCUUAAAUUAUGUAAAAUUGUGAUAGAAAACAAUAUUUUAUUUUAUUUUAUUUUCAAAAUGCAAAAUGGGCAUUAAGAAAAUUGCAAAGAAAGAGUCCCACUUAAUUCCCAAAAAAGCAAAAAAUCCCAACCCAUCAUCUUUCUUCAGAACCUAUCAAAAUCCCUAUUGCCCUCAUACUCUUUCCCUUUUAUUCCCACUUUGCCUUUUAGUCGCCUCUCUCUCUCUCUCUCUCUCCAUCCAUAUUCUCUCAAAUUCCUCACUCUCCGC